CCUACGGGAGGCAGCAGUGGGGAAUAUUGCGCAAUGGGGGCAACCCUUACGCAGCAACGCCGCGUGAUUGAAGAAGGCCUUCGGGUUGUAAAGAUCUUUAAUCGGGGACGAAUUUUGACGGUACCCGAAGAAUAAGCUCCGGCUAACUACGUGCCAGCAGCCGCGGUAAUACGUAGGGAGCAAGCGUUAUCCGGAUUUACUGGGUGUAAAGGGCGUGUAGGCGGGCACGCAAGCCAGAAGUGAAAUCCGGGGGCUCAACCCCCGAACUGCAUUUGAAACUGUUGGUCUUGAGUAUCGGAGAGGCAGGCGGAAUUCCUAGUGUAGCGGUGAAAUGCGUAGAUAUUAGGAGGAACACCAGUGGCGAAGGCGGCCUGCUGGACGACAACUGACGGUGAGGCGCGAAAGCGUGGGGAGCAAACAGGAUUAGAUACCCUGGUAGUC
This 441-nucleotide ribosomal RNA is filed under the name uncultured bacterium. RNAcentral describes it as "partial 16S ribosomal RNA". It matches the Rfam family "Bacterial small subunit ribosomal RNA", at positions 338 to 795 of the family's 1533-position model. The record is from RNAcentral.